This 253-nucleotide unclassified non-coding RNA is filed under the name uncultured Patescibacteria group bacterium. RNAcentral's name for it is "contains 16S-23S intergenic spacer region". It matches the Rfam family "Bacterial small subunit ribosomal RNA", at positions 524 to 776 of the family's 1533-position model. The record is from RNAcentral.
UACGUAGGGAGCAAGCGUUGCCCGGAUUUAUUGGGCGUAAAGUGUUCGUAGGCGUUUUGGAAAGUUAUUCUUCAAAGACCGGGGCUUAACCCCGGGCCGGGGAGUAAUACUACCAGAAUUGAAGGAUGCCGGGGUUAUUGGAACUGUCGGUGUAGGGGUGAAAUCCGUUGAUAUCGACAGGAACUCCGAGGGCGAAGGCGGAUAGCUAGGCAUUUCUUGACGCUGAGGAACGAAAGCUAGGGGAGCGAAAGGG